UUAAAAUUCUUAAUAAUUUGUAAAACCCUGCUGUGAUUAAAACUCUCAAUCGGAGAAGACUAUUCCAAUUCACUCUUCUCGAUGUAUAGAUGAUCUGAAGCCAUCCCACAACGCCUCCUGUUCAUUCCGAAAUCACACACCAAUAUAUAUAAAAGCACAAACUGCAUAUAUAUAUAUAUCUGCUACGUGAUCGGAAGGAAGACUACAGAUGUUUAAUCUGAUAGAUUUUACAUCAGGCAUGGAAUUGAAGCUCUUGUUUUCACCGAUUCGACGUCUAUUUCGUGAUUCAGAUGAUCAAUUGCUUCUCUUUCAACCCCUUGGCCUCUACCCUAGUUCGAUGCACUAGAGAUUGGGAAGUAGCUAAUGCGUGACGAGGCAAGGAACUUUAUUGACACAGCUCUCACAAGAAAUACAAGUACACUAAUUUUGUUUAUGAUUCAUCAAGGUCUUUAUUGCUUCACAAGGACAAGCUGUCUUCCACCCACAACAAACAUGGGACAUGGGCACAGCAACCCAACCACUAAGAGGACUUGAUCAAAAGGUCUCACUUAAUUGAAGGAUUUCAGUUGUACUUGUUCUUCUUCUGUAUUUCAACAAUAAUGCAAGAAUAUGUAAGACUAGUGCUUCUAUAUCCUAGUGUUGAUUCUUUUAUAUAUAUUUUUCAUCUUGUUAGAAACACAUUACAUAUCUUGGUGUACUAAAUGAGCAUUGUUUUAUUA
Non-coding RNA from Camellia sinensis, 719 nucleotides. NCBI's taxonomy places the organism in Eukaryota, Viridiplantae, Streptophyta, Magnoliopsida, Ericales, Theaceae. The record is from RefSeq and is a predicted model, not a curated record.